This 1779-nucleotide long non-coding RNA is filed under the name Gallus gallus (chicken). RNAcentral's name for it is "long non-coding RNA NONGGAT009186". Lineage: Eukaryota; Metazoa; Chordata; Aves; Galliformes; Phasianidae. The record is from RNAcentral.
GGUAAGGAAAGCAAAGUUCUUCAGCCGGUGCUGCUUUAUUGUCACCACACUCCAAAUGCGCGGUGGUGAAAUUCCUGAUUAUUUCCACGCUUCAGCUGAUGGUCCACAAGUGGUCACCUGCAGUCAUCGUUCAUCUUUUUUCAGUUGGAGAUGCUGCAAAUGCCAGAGAUGAGAUGAGGGGAAACACAUCAAGGCUUUCUUUGCUUCCUGCCUUUGAGCCUGUGAUGGGUUUCUGUGGGUCUGAAGCCCUGCUGUAAGAGCUCGCAGCAGCUGGAAGUGUAAUGCACUGCAGCUCGGUGCCUCCUGAGGCACUCGGGCACAGCCUGGAGGAGUUUAAUGGCACUGAGGAUGGUUUUACCAACGCAUGAACCAACAUGGGCUGAGAGAGCAACUCACAAUACCUUCCUGCAACAGAGAAAGUCCAGUUUCCAUAAUAAAUAAUGAGGAGGCGUUACUUCUGGAGCAACCUGUCUAUUCCUCAGUCAUCGAAGGUGCUGAAAAGCAGAUAAGGCUGCACGUUUGCCUCCUCGUCAGCCACCCCACAGUACUGCUGGUUACACCGCUGGUGAAUGCUAACGUCAAACUGAUUUGCUCCCAAGAAGCCACUGCUGCGUGCUCCUGCAGGGAUGCUGCUGGCUGCCCCCCGCUCUCUGCUGUGCUUUGUGUGCUCCACGGGUGUUCUCUCCCUGAAGCAGUGGUUACGUGGGAUUUGGGGCUCCUUUUCCAACCCCUCCUGCGAAAGGAGAGCACAGGUGAGACUCUUAUCAGCUAUCUCUCUGCAGUUACGGACUGGGAGUCUCUCUUAUCUCUUUAACCUUCACGUAGCCCUUGCCUGGAGGCACUCGAUGCGGUGGUUACUUUAUCCAGACUGCUCUCUGGAUCACAGAUCCCUGAACAAUAACAGAGAGGGGUGGCAGAGGCAAGCCUGGACUAGAAAUCAGAUCGGAAAUACUGAGAAAUGAGAGUUAAACAAAAGCUGCAUCACGUAACGAGGGGUCCUGGCUGCCAUGGGGCCCGUCCUGUCCCUGCUCAGCAACCAGCCCUGCCUUGCAGAGACCCGGCAGGGAUGCUGCAGGAGGGAAACUCCUCCGUUUGGGGCUCUAGCUCUGAGAGGGGCAUUGCUGGCAUUUACUCAGGGGCCAAGAAAGCCGCAGUCAAGCUUAGCACAUAGCUAACCUACCCCAUCCCUGCAGGUGCUCAAGGCCAGGUUGGAUGGGGCCCUGGGCAGCUGGGUCUGGUGCCUGAUUUCGUGGUUGUCUUGUGGUUUCUUGUCUUGUGGGUUUUGCUCACAGCAAGGGGUGGAACUAGGUGGUCUUUGAGAUCCUUCCCAACCCAUACCAUUCUGUGACUAUCAUUCUAAGUUUAUGGCUGGCCUAAGGGAUGUCUGACAGGGUUAAGUCCAGUUUAAUUGGUCUGCCUGCUGCAUCAAAACAGUCUAUCUAGCAGAAAGAUGAGUAAAGCAAGCAUUUGUGGAGACGGGCACUGCUCCACAGGGUCUGUGCUGUUUCAUGCAGUGAUCCUUCAAAGCCAUCAAUGCAUUACUAACGGUCUGUGAUUUCUGAGCUGCCUCCACUGAUUUAGCUGGUGUCUGUCUCACGUGUUGGAAGUGGUCCUGUCUUUGCAGGGUGAGGGCUGUGGGCACAGGAAUCCAGAACAAGCCAGUGAGCAGAGGUUUAAUCAGCACGAUCAGCUCUCGGUGUUGGGAUGCUUUUCACUGGUGAGCUAUGGGAAAUCCUCUUUGGUGUUCCAGGCAGUUUCCUGGGGGAAUGUAUAUUACAA